ACCUAGAGGUCUUAAAAGCCCUGCAUUCACCAUGAUCUGUCUGCCCCUGCCCUUUUGGGUUCUUCUGCAUGCAGUGCCCCCCUCUCCUGAUGCUAAGUUUUGGCAUGGGUGUCCUGGCUACCUCAACUGUAUUCUCAAGGCCAGGAGGAUGGCUCUGGCCAUACUUACGGAAGCCAGGCCAAUUUGUGUGAAGCAAGCUGGGCUUCUGGUUUGAUUCAGCUUCUGUAGCCUCCAGGGACCAUCCUCUGGAGUCUUGUGCUUUCACUGGACUCUUCAGCUUCACCAAACACACCAAGCUUUGCCAUUUACAUGCCAUGUGGGCCUUGCCAAGGGUUAUUUCAGGGGUCUUCCUGGGAGUCUUGUUCUAAGACACCGUGUUUCUUUAGUCUUAGGGACAACUCCCAAGGUGAUGAGCUCAUAGGACGUCUUCCCAUGGGGCCCUGUACUGGUGUCAAUAAACCAUAUAUUC
Molecule: long non-coding RNA, 469 nt
Filed under: Mus musculus (house mouse)
Lineage: Eukaryota; Metazoa; Chordata; Mammalia; Rodentia; Muridae
Description: long non-coding RNA chr16:16926889-16927358
Source: RNAcentral